CUAAAAUUAUCAUUUUCAAGACAAAACUCUUGCAGUACACUGAUAAAAUCGAUAAAAUACCAAAAUGUCAAAAAUAUUUUUGUUGCUAUCAAUUUUGUUUCUUAUCGGAGUUUCAGAAACUUUUGCCGGUGGAUGCGAAGGCAAAUGGUGUCAUCCGCUAAACAGACAUUAUUGCUGUUAUUCGUAUAAGUGUUCGUCUUACUGGACUCAGGGUUCAUGUUUUUAUAAAUGGUCGUGAAUAUAAGAAA
This is a long non-coding RNA of Microplitis mediator, 248 nucleotides long. RefSeq lists it as uncharacterized. The record is from RefSeq and is a predicted model, not a curated record. The transcript has 3 exons. Lineage: Eukaryota; Metazoa; Arthropoda; Insecta; Hymenoptera; Braconidae.